This 2706-nucleotide ribosomal RNA is filed under the name Salmonella enterica subsp. enterica serovar Typhimurium. Its description in RNAcentral is "partial 23S ribosomal RNA". It matches the Rfam family "Bacterial large subunit ribosomal RNA". The record is from RNAcentral. Lineage: Bacteria; Pseudomonadati; Pseudomonadota; Gammaproteobacteria; Enterobacterales; Enterobacteriaceae.
UUAAGCGACUAAGCGUACACGGUGGAUGCCCUGGCAGUCAGAGGCGAUGAAGGGCGUGCUAAUCUGCGAUAAGCGCCGGUAAGGUGAUAUGAACCGUUAUAACCGGCGAUACCCGAAUGGGGAAACCCAGUGUGAUUCGUCACACUAUCAUUAACUGAAUCCAUAGGUUAAUGAGGCGAACCGGGGGAACUGAAACAUCUAAGUACCCCGAGGAAAAGAAAUCAACCGAGAUUCCCCCAGUAGCGGCGAGCGAACGGGGAGGAGCCCAGAGCCUGAAUCAGCAUGUGUGUUAGUGGAAGCGUCUGGAAAGGCGCGCGAUACAGGGUGACAGCCCCGUACACAAAAGCGCAUGUGCUGUGAGCUCGAUGAGUAGGGCGGGACACGUGGUAUCCUGUCUGAAUAUGGGGGGACCAUCCUCCAAGGCUAAAUACUCCUGACUGACCGAUAGUGAACCAGUACCGUGAGGGAAAGGCGAAAAGAACCCCGGCGAGGGGAGUGAAAAAGAGCCUGAAACCGUGUACGUACAAGCAGUGGGAGCACCCUUCGGGGUGUGACUGCGUACCUUUUGUAUAAUGGGUCAGCGACUUAUAUUCUGUAGCAAGGUUAACCGUAUAGGGGAGCCGGAGGGAAACCGAGUCUUAACCGGGCGUUAAGUUGCAGGGUAUAGACCCGAAACCCGGUGAUCUAGCCAUGGGCAGGUUGAAGGUUGGGUAACACUAACUGGAGGACCGAACCGACUAAUGUUGAAAAAUUAGCGGAUGACCUGUGGCUGGGGGUGAAAGGCCAAUCAAACCGGGAGAUAGCUGGUUCUCCCCGAAAGCUAUUUAGGUAGCGCCUCGUGAAUUCAUCUCCGGGGGUAGAGCACUGUUUCGGCUAGGGGGCCAUCCCGGCUUACCAACCCGAUGCAAACUGCGAAUACCGGAGAAUGUUAUCACGGGAGACACACGGCGGGUGCUAACGUCCGUCGUGAAGAGGGAAACAACCCAGACCGCCAGCUAAGGUCCCAAAGUCAUGGUUAAGUGGGAAACGAUGUGGGAAGGCCCAGACAGCCAGGAUGUUGGCUUAGAAGCAGCCAUCAUUUAAAGAAAGCGUAAUAGCUCACUGGUCGAGUCGGCCUGCGCGGAAGAUGUAACGGGGCUAAACCAUGCACCGAAGCUGCGGCAGCGAACGUAUCACCCAAGACAACUUUACGGAGUUGACGAUUGACGGAGCGAAGCGACGUCAAAGCGUUCAUUAAAGUCGAGUUGGCUUAGGGAUACGUUCGUUGGGUAGGGGAGCGUUCUGUAAGCCUGUGAAGGUGUGUCGUGAGGCAUGCUGGAGGUAUCAGAAGUGCGAAUGCUGACAUAAGUAACGAUAAAGCGGGUGAAAAGCCCGCUCGCCGGAAGACCAAGGGUUCCUGUCCAACGUUAAUCGGGGCAGGGUGAGUCGACCCCUAAGGCGAGGCCGAAAGGCGUAGUCGAUGGGAAACGGGUUAAUAUUCCCGUACUUGGUGUUACUGCGAAGGGGGGACGGAGAAGGCUAUGUUGGCCGGGCGACGGUUGUCCCGGUUUAAGCGUGUAGGUGUGUGUUCCAGGUAAAUCCGGUUCACUUUAACACUGAGGCGUGACGACGAGGCACUACGGUGCUGAAGCAACAAAUGCCCUGCUUCCAGGAAAAGCCUCUAAGCAUCAGGUAACAUCAAAUCGUACCCCAAACCGACACAGGUGGUCAGGUAGAGAAUACCAAGGCGCUUGAGAGAACUCGGGUGAAGGAACUAGGCAAAAUGGUGCCGUAACUUCGGGAGAAGGCACGCUGACACGUAGGUGAAGUGAUUUACUCAUGGAGCUGAAGUCAGUCGAAGAUACCAGCUGGCUGCAACUGUUUAUUAAAAACACAGCACUGUGCAAACACGAAAGUGGACGUAUACGGUGUGACGCCUGCCCGGUGCCGGAAGGUUAAUUGAUGGGGUCAGCGCAAGCGAAGCUCCUGAUCGAAGCCCCGGUAAACGGCGGCCGUAACUAUAACGGUCCUAAGGUAGCGAAAUUCCUUGUCGGGUAAGUUCCGACCUGCACGAAUGGCGUAAUGAUGGCCAGGCUGUCUCCACCCGAGACUCAGUGAAAUUGAACUCGCUGUGAAGAUGCAGUGUACCCGCGGCAAGACGGAAAGACCCCGUGAACCUUUACUAUAGCUUGACACUGAACAUUGAGCCUUGAUGUGUAGGAUAGGUGGGAGGCUUUGAAGUGUGGACGCCAGUCUGCAUGGAGCCGACCUUGAAAUACCACCCUUUAAUGUUUGAUGUUCUAACGUGGACCCGUAAUCCGGGUUGCGGACAGUGUCUGGUGGGUAGUUUGACUGGGGCGGUCUCCUCCUAAAGAGUAACGGAGGAGCACGAAGGUUGGCUAAUCCUGGUCGGACAUCAGGAGGUUAGUGCAAUGGCAUAAGCCAGCUUGACUGCGAGCGUGACGGCGCGAGCAGGUGCGAAAGCAGGUCAUAGUGAUCCGGUGGUUCUGAAUGGAAGGGCCAUCGCUCAACGGAUAAAAGGUACUCCGGGGAUAACAGGCUGAUACCGCCCAAGAGUUCAUAUCGACGGCGGUGUUUGGCACCUCGAUGUCGGCUCAUCACAUCCUGGGGCUGAAGUAGGUCCCAAGGGUAUGGCUGUUCGCCAUUUAAAGUGGUACGCGAGCUGGGUUUAGAACGUCGUGAGACAGUUCGGUCCCUAUCUGCCGU